GUCUCUGAGUUAUACGUGGUUCAAUCUAAUCACAUCACAUGAUUCAAUCAUUGCAAUAAUUACAGCUGAUACUUUUAGGCAUUGAAUCAAGGAACUUUCCUUUGGCAAUCAAGAAGGUGAAAAGUAGAAGAACCAUCAAGGUGUGACACUAUAUAUUGAAGAUUUGAGGUUGACAUUACAGUAAGAUUAUAGAAAUAUUUAAGCAAGGUACAAUUUUUUUCUGAAUAUAUGGGCCUUUUUCUUCUAGGGGUGAGGCCCUCAUAUUAAUUGCUAUUUUCUUCUAUAAUGUGUCACACUUUUGUUUCUAAAUAUAUUUUU
This is a long non-coding RNA of Trifolium pratense (red clover), 318 nucleotides long. RefSeq lists it as uncharacterized. Lineage: Eukaryota; Viridiplantae; Streptophyta; Magnoliopsida; Fabales; Fabaceae. The record is from RefSeq and is a predicted model, not a curated record. The transcript is spliced from 3 exons.